RNAcentral lists this ribosomal RNA (467 nucleotides) under uncultured bacterium. RNAcentral's name for it is "bacterial SSU rRNA". It matches the Rfam family "Bacterial small subunit ribosomal RNA", at positions 28 to 507 of the family's 1533-position model. The record is from RNAcentral.
GACGAACGCUGGCGGCGUGCCUAACACAUGCAAGUCGAACGGAACUCGGGACUUCGGUUCUGAGUUUAGUGGCGAACGGGUGAGUAACGCGUGAGGAACCUGCCUUUCAGUGGGGGACAACAGUUGGAAACGACUGCUAAUACCGCAUAAUGUGUUUUGGGGGCAUCCCCGAGACACCAAAGCUUUAUGUGCUGAAAGAUGGCCUCGCGUCUGAUUAGAUAGUUGGUGAGGUAACGGCUCACCAAGUCUGCGAUCAGUAGCCGGUCUGAGAGGAUGAACGGCCACAUUGGGACUGAGAUACGGCCCAGACUCCUACGGGAGGCAGCAGUGGGGAAUAUUGGGCAAUGGGGGAAACCCUGACCCAGCAACGCCGCGUGAAGGAAGAAGGCCUCGGGUUGUAAACUUCUUUAGUCAGGGACGAAGAACGUGACGGUACCUGCAGAAAAAGACAACGGACUAACUACGUG